This 90-nucleotide transfer RNA is filed under the name Acidocella sp. RNAcentral describes it as "tRNA-Ser". It matches the Rfam family "tRNA". From Rfam's summary of the family: Transfer RNA (tRNA) molecules are approximately 80 nucleotides in length. Their secondary structure includes four short double-helical elements and three loops (D, anti-codon, and T loops). Lineage: Bacteria; Pseudomonadati; Pseudomonadota; Alphaproteobacteria; Acetobacterales; Acidocellaceae. The record is from RNAcentral. RNAcentral also lists the same sequence under 3 other names.
GGAGAGGUGGCCGAGUGGUUUAAGGCAGCGGUCUUGAAAACCGCCGUGCGUUAACGCGUACCGUGGGUUCGAAUCCCACCUUCUCCGCCA